RNAcentral lists this ribosomal RNA (254 nucleotides) under uncultured bacterium. RNAcentral describes it as "partial 16S ribosomal RNA". It matches the Rfam family "Bacterial small subunit ribosomal RNA", at positions 524 to 776 of the family's 1533-position model. The record is from RNAcentral.
GACGAACCACCCAAACGUUAUUCGGAAUCACUGGGCUUAAAGAGUGCGUAGGCGGCUAUGUAAGUAGGGUGUGAAAACCUGCAGCUUAACUGUGGGCGUGCGGUCGAUACGGGCAUCACUGGAGUUCGGCAGGGGAGACUGGAAUUCCUGGUGUAGCGGUGAAAUGCGCAGAUAUCAGGAGGAACACCGGUGGCGAAGGCGGGUCUCUGGGCCGAUACUGACGCUGAGGAGCGAAAGCGUGGGGAGCAAACAGG